UUCCCGUCCGCUCAGCCGUACUUAAGCCACACGCCGGGAGGUUAGUAGUUGGGUGGGUGACCACCAGCGAAUCCCUUCUGUUGUAUGUU
Molecule: ribosomal RNA, 89 nt
Filed under: Aspergillus niger
Lineage: Eukaryota; Fungi; Ascomycota; Eurotiomycetes; Eurotiales; Aspergillaceae
Also listed under: 1 other name
Source: RNAcentral